This 1485-nucleotide unclassified non-coding RNA is filed under the name Rhagoletis pomonella (apple maggot). RNAcentral describes it as "uncharacterized LOC118738255, transcript variant X1". The record is from RNAcentral. Lineage: Eukaryota; Metazoa; Arthropoda; Insecta; Diptera; Tephritidae.
UCCAGCACAACAACAACAAAUACAUAAGCAACAAAGUAAAAACUUCAAAACGGCAGGCAAAUAACCAACACACAUCCUUUCUAAUAAUCCGCAUACACACCACCCACCACUAGCUAACACAGCAAGCAACCGCCGCCAGCCGCCAGCCGCCAAUCGCCAACCGCCAACUAAAUUGUCGCCGUCACUGUCACCUCGCCGGCGAAUAGUACAACCACUGGAAAUACACAACAAGAAGGGCGGCCAUUUACGGUAACUAGGCAAGAAAGUCGACAAAGCUCGACAGCCUAUCAACUUUACCAAGCAACCAAACAACCAAACAACCAAACAACCGACCGGCCGACCGAGCCGCCGAGGGCACAACACAAUCAUUCAGCUCCAAACUCGGUGACGUACUCUUAUGAAAAUGAAUGCCAGUCUCAUUUACGAAAUCCUCAUGUAUUUAAAUUCAUUCUACUUUGGUAUGUACGCCACAUUUGAGAUUGGUGUCGGUGUCCUCAAGGCAAUCGGAUUGAAUUAUACUUCGAAUGAGCUAACGCACGAGGGGUGCAUAUUACUCGCAUUGUGCAUCGUCGAGACAAUACGAAUUGUAUUAGGUCGGAAGAGCAGUCUAAGCGAUCGUGGUUGGCAAGCAACAGCAUCCGUAAUAUUAACACUGCCCAGCCUUGCUCUCGUCAUCUACUUAUGUUGUUUUCAAACCUACGUUCUCAAACUCGAAAUUAUUCUGAGUGCCUUAAUGAUAGCCCUCCAAGGUGCUGAACUAGUGUAUGCCGGUGUCUUCAUUUGCACCAUGUUCGGUGAUGUUUCGUAUACCUAGCAGUCGAUAAUAAUUUAUGUACAACUGAUACACUUCAAUUCGAAUGAAUUUCACGUCUUUAUUUUCCCAAUGAAUCAGCAAAAAUGUUGAUGCCAAAGGUGCCAAUGAUCGUAAAAAUCACGCAAGCAAAUACCCUGGUACGGAAGUCAGUCAACACGACGAAAACGCAAGCGAAGAAGACGACGUACUCAUAUACCAACAAAACCGAUGAUAAUGAUAGCGAUAAGGAAAGCGGAACUCUAAGCAACCGAAAAAUGUGGAAAACUCAGUUGGAUUCUAGCGAGAUGAGACACUGAUAAAGAACAAAAAGCCAGCAUUUUAAUGUAACGGAUUUCAUUUAUAUGUACAAAUGCACCUAGUCGAAUGGGGAAAAGGUAGAGAAAAGAGCUAAAGUGUCAAGCGGAUCGCAAAAAGAGGGAAGAGAAAUAGGAAAACGGAAGGUGAGAAACCGACGAUAGCUCUGUACAUACAUACAUACAUAUGUACAUGUGUAUAGUAGUAUAUCGUGGUGUGUAUGUACAUAUGUAUGCAGCACAACAAAGGCAAACCCAAACCAUCUCAAUGUGCAAAGGUCAAAAAUUAGCAUACAUUGGCAGCUCCAAGUUGACGUAUGCAAAAUUCAAAAAUACAAUUAAUGUAAGUGCUGCUGACACAAAAGAUAGCUGCAACAC